CGCGGGAUAGAGCAGCGGUAGCUCGUGAGGUUCAUUCCCUCAAAGUCGUGGGUUCGAUUCCCACUCCCGCAA
RNAcentral lists this transfer RNA (72 nucleotides) under Caudoviricetes sp. RNAcentral's name for it is "tRNA-Met". It matches the Rfam family "tRNA". Rfam says of the family: Transfer RNA (tRNA) molecules are approximately 80 nucleotides in length. Their secondary structure includes four short double-helical elements and three loops (D, anti-codon, and T loops). Further hydrogen bonds mediate the characteristic L-shaped molecular structure. tRNAs have two regions of fundamental functional importance: the anti-codon, which is responsible for specific mRNA codon recognition, and the 3' end, to which the tRNAs corresponding amino acid is attached (by aminoacyl-tRNA synthetases). tRNAs cope with the degeneracy of the genetic code in two manners: having more than one tRNA (with a specific anti-codon) for a particular amino acid; and 'wobble' base-pairing, i.e. permitting non-standard base-pairing at the 3rd anti-codon position. The record is from RNAcentral. Lineage: Duplodnaviria; Heunggongvirae; Uroviricota; Caudoviricetes.